RNAcentral lists this ribosomal RNA (493 nucleotides) under uncultured bacterium. RNAcentral's name for it is "partial 16S ribosomal RNA". It matches the Rfam family "Bacterial small subunit ribosomal RNA", at positions 29 to 523 of the family's 1533-position model. The record is from RNAcentral.
AUUGAACGCUGGCGGCAUGCCUUACACAUGCAAGUCGAACGGUAACAGGUUAAGCUGACGAGUGGCGAACGGGUGAGUAAUACAUCGGAACGUGCCCAGACGUGGGGGAUAGCUCGGCGAAAGCCGGAUUAAUACCGCAUAAGCUCUGAGGAGGAAAGCGGGGGACCGUAAGGCCUCGCGCGUUUGGAGCGGCCGAUGGCAGAUUAGGUAGUUGGUGGGGGAAAGGCUUACCAAGCCUACGAUCUGUAGCUGGUCUGAGAGGACGACCAGCCAAACUGGGGCUAGGACACGGCCCAGGCUCCUACGCGAGGCAGCAGUGGGGAAUUUUGGACAAUGGGCGAAAGCCUGAGUCAGCAAGGCCGCGUGCAGGAUGAAGGCCAUCGGGUUGUAAACUGCUUUUGUACGGAACGAAAAGGCGCCUACUAAUACUGGGUGUUGAUGACGGUACCGUAAGAAUAAGCACCGGCUAACUACGUGCCAGCCGCCGCCGUAA